AAGAUGUAAAACAAUAUAUAUUCAGAAAUUGUUAGCAGCAUUUUGUACUGUAAACAGAAUUUCUUACUACAGUUUUCAGUUUACACUGUUUAUGUGUGCUGAUCUACUUUAAAAAUGCAAUAUUGGCUGCAAAGCAUCCUUAGUGAAGAUCAAACUUAACUACUGACAAAAAUAAUAAAUCGAGGAAUUUCUAUUCAUUGCCACACAGUAGAGAAACUCCAAGUUAUACUUUAUACUUUCUACCUUUUCUAGUAAAUAAUUUAUAUCAGCAGGAUGAAUACAUUGCAUUUGUAUAAGCAGGCAGUUACAGGGUGUAAUAGCUGAAUUUACCAGUGAGCUCAAAUCUGGCAUUUCUGACCUCCUUUAAAAUAGGUUUCUAAGGCAGUCAGUGGUUUUUAAAACUGUCAAGUCAGCUCUGCUAUGAGGUUCUCAAAAGUAUAAAACCGCAUUCCAGUAUCCAAACUAUUUCUUUAGGAAGUCAGUGUCUACAUACAAUGAUCUUAUCUUCCGUCACCACGCAAAAUCUGUUCCAUUUACACUAGGUAAUAAAAGAGUGCUUUGAUCAGGAAUGUGAUAAGUUUAUCUUGCAUCUUCACCAGGCCUCAAAACUCCCUAUUUAACUAAUUUCCAGAACAGAACUUCUGGAUAGAAGGAUAAACGGUCUUAUUAUAUAGUGCUGAUAGUACUUUUUUCUGCCUUCUCCCAGUGAAGAAUGUCACAGGAGAAAGAACUCCACGUUUUCAUUAUUUUCAAGAUUUACCAAAAUUAAGAUCUAUCAAUAUUUGUUGUAAAAAAUUUGGCAUGUUAAAGAAAGUAAGAUUUUAGAGCAGGUGCGGAAGUCCUCACUUGACAGAUGCUUACAGUGUAGAUUAGUUCGCAGAUGCUGCACCAUAUGUUUAGUUACAGAAAGCAGUUACCUUUAAAAUUGUUACAUAGGCCACACAGUAAGAGUUAUGUGUAUGAGAUUAUGGCAGUCAGCUGUAACCAGUAUGCCUAGAUCAUUAAGAGGUAGUGUUUAUUUAGCAUAUUUUGGAAAGAAUUACAGCGAGAAUUUGAGAAGUACAGACCAUCUGAGAAGUACAUACAUGAAAUUACUACAGAUUUCAAUCAGUACAUGUUUUCCUUUUUUUACCUAAAUCACAUUAUCUAGCUUCCAACUGCUCUGGGUCUCCAAGUCUCAUGCUUGUAGUGAAGAGAUGGCUGCCAAAUAGAUUUGCAGAAAUUACCUUUUCUUUCUAACACUGGAAUAGUAAAAACAAAAAUAGAGAUGGCAUGUGGAAUUUAUAAAAGUACAAUAAGGAAAAUAAUGUUUCAGUAAGAAAGAGGAAAAAAAAAUAGAAAAAAGGCAUUCAGUGAUAAUAAACACCAAAUAUUUGAAUAACUGAGCUAUUGUUACAGACUAGAAUAAGAGCUCCACAACCACAUGUGCCUGAGAAAAACAAAACAAUACUUUCUGUUUUGUUUUUGGUUUGAUUUUCGGUAUCUUGUCUAUUUUUCCCCAACACUAGAAGCCGUUAGCACUAUGAAAUGGCCCAAAGUUUUUAGCAUAUCACAGACAACCUCUGCCUUCUAGGAGAAACAUGGGCUGCAUAUCUGAGAAGUUACUGGCCUUUCCAGUUGCAAUAAAGGUGAUAACAUUGCAUCUAGAAAUGUUGUGCUGAAGGACUGAAUCAAUACUAAAGAGCACAAAACAAUUACAUGUAUAGAAACUGAAAUGAAUCAGCUCUCAUGUGCAUUAAAACAGAUUUUAAUAUGAGUUGUCAACGCUUUGCAAUCAUCCUAAUCAUUCUAAUUAAUGACUUCUGAAAUCCAGCAAUGUAAGCAAAAAUACAACAUACCCAGAAAGAUGUAUUUUUUCCACUUAGUUUCUGUAAGAACAUAUAUGACCUUCAGUAUUCAUUCUUCUAAUAUCUUCUAACAUUAUUCUCAAAACAAAAGAGCAACAAAAGGGGAAAUAAGCAAAUUUUAAAAGUAACCCACAGUGUUUAAAGAUUUUGGAAAACUACACAUAAUGAAAUUACUUUGAAUAUAUGUUAAAAAGAAUGUUCCUAGCAUGGAACAUUUCCAUCAGGAAGCAGCUUCUGAUAAGACUGUAUGUAAUCAACCUAGUUGUUAAACAUUGGUUAUUUUGAAGGACUUUGUUAAAACAGCGAUUCUGCACUAAUACAUUUGAGUCAACAAAUAGAUCCAAAUUUAUAUCCUCAUUCUUCAGAUAAUACAAACAACAGGCUAUUUUAUUAAGUCUGAUUGCCUUGUGAACAUGGAUUUCUGUCAACCAUUGAAGUGAAAAACUCUUCCCAGCACAAAAUAUCUGUGCAAUUAGGAUAUCAUGUCACGUUUUAUAUUCUCUCAGUGAGGGAGAAAGAACAAAGUUUCAAGGCUGCCAGCUGGCAGAAUAUAGCAAAAGAAAUAUAAAAUUUGACAAUUCUGUGUUAAUUACCAUUUAUUUUUGUUCUCUACUAUAUAUACACUUCUAUAAAAACUACCUCUAAGCUACAGAAAAUUUAAUUCAAUAUCGGACAUUGAUAUCAGGCCAGUGCUGGGUGUGCAGAUAUGCAUUGGCUCAGCUGCGUACCCUCAAGCUCCACAACUUCUUUUCUCCCAUUUGUCAGCAUGACUAGAUAGAAAUGCUUGCUACAUAAUUAUUAUUAUAAUCAAUCAUCCCAAAAGAAGAAAUUUGAAACACCAUCAAAAGCAAAAGGCUGCAUGUAUAUCCCUAGGGUAGCAGUUUCCUCAGACUACAUUUGGCAUAACCUGAACUCUAUUUUGAAGGUCAAAAGGUCAUGAGUAAACUUGACAAUUGAUUUUGCCAAAUCAUAGUUUGAACAAUCAGUCUCUCAUCUUUAGUAUUCUUCCCCCAUCUAACCUUAAAGUAGCAGAGAAAGAGAAGUUCAGGUUAUGACUUCAUUUUCAGAAAACCCAGAUUAAUUCUUUCUCAGACACUAUUAUCACGCUUCACAGUAUUAUUUCCUCUGGCAUUCUCCCAUUCAAGUCCUAAGAACUAGCCAAGCUAAUUUCUUGGCUUUAUUUCCUUGACAGUCUCAGAACAACAUGGCUAUUACAGGAUGAAUAAUGGAAAGCAAAGCGAUGAAGUCUUCCCACUCUAUCUAGCUACUCCUCUAGGCAGAACCUGCCAGCUAGGGUAGUCUUAUGAGAUUAGUCCUUUGCCAGACUAUGGAAGGCAUAAAACAUGACCUCCAGUUUCACGUAUUUGUGUUUCAACAAAUAUUUUUUUUAAAAAGAGAAAAAAAAUACCCCCCAUGCCCAGUUCUACCAGGGUUAUUUCUUGCAAUCUAAAUUCAGAGUACUUGUCGUGAAGGGGUGGAAAUACUCUGGCUUAAGUCAGAUAAACGAGCUGCUACGCAAGUAAUAGUCAAACUUUACUUGCUUUGAAGCUCAACUUCUUUCUCUGAGUUUGCUUCACUCCUAAAUCAUGCUUGGCAACAAAAAAAAUUGCCAUUUAGCAGAUGUCCUUUAUUUAUCAAGUAAAUCUUAAAGUGAUCUGAACUGCAUUUCUGAAGACUGCUUCUUGUAUUUUUAACCAAAUACAAUUAUCAGACAGCAGCAGGUCCUAAUAUAAUCAUACAUUUUUUUUGGACUUUGAUCAACAUCUAUGACAAGUUCUAUCAAAAUUUAUGGUUAUGAUGACUUCUUACAUGUUACUACAUAGCUCUUUCGUAUCCUAACUAACUGGUCUUCAUAUCGUCACUACCUCAAGAAGCUGUUCAGAAUUAAAGUUUGACAUCUACAGAGAAAAAUCACAUUCAAAAAAGAAUCAAGUAUUUGCUUCCAUCAUGAGAUAUUUUGGAGCUACAAGCUCUACACAGAGAACUGGCAGAACAUUUCAUUGAACUGUGAAGGUGAAAACUAUGUUUCCUUUUUUAUUGCCCAGCUCUGUGCAUUUCACUAAUGCAUGUGUACUCAAAUACAUCUCCAGGUAGCUUUGAUAUUCAGUCAGUAUAUUCAGUCACUACCAGCACUGCAGUAAGACACCUUGGUAAACUUACACUGAAUGAGUCCAGUUAGAUGGCUUCCAGAAGACAAGCAGAGCCAACGUUUGUGUACUCAAAACCAGCCAUACUGCUCCUUCUUUACAGAAUGUUGUGUGUUGAACACAUCAAACACUGAUGAGUCCUUCUUAUUUUCCAUGGCAUAAAUCACUAUCCUAACAGGCAGUGCAUAUGGAAUCAGGUCCUGACUGAUUAACCUUCAUCUCAGAUCAUUAACCCAUUUCCUACAAAGAUAACAGAAAUUAUAUAACUUCAAGACUGUAUGUGUUUGUGUAUCUCCUUAUACCUUUGUUCUUAUACACAUCUUAAAAUCACAGAAUCGCUCAGGUUGGAAAAGACCUAAAAGAUCAUUGAGUCCAACCACGACCAAACAAUACUACCCUAACUCUAACAACCCUCCACUAAAUCAUAUCCCUGAGCACCACAUCCAAACGGUUUUUAAAUACAUCCAGGGAUGAUGACUCAACCACCUCCUUGGAGAGCCUAUUCCAGUGCUUAACAAUCCUUUCUGUGAAGUAGUUUUUCCUGAUAUCCAACCUAAACCUCUCCUGGCUCAACCUGUGGCCAUUUCCCCUUGUCCUGUCACCUGUCACCAGUGAGAAGAGACCAGCCUCGCUCUCACUGCAAUCACCUUUCAGAUAUUGGAAGAGAGCAAUAAGGUCUCGCCUCAGCCUCCUUUUCCCCAGACUAAACAGCCCCGGUUCCUUCAGUUGCCCCUCAUAGGGCAUAUUCUCCAAGCCCUUCACAAGCCUUGUUGCCCUUCUUUGAACCUGCGCCAGCACCUCAGUGUUGUUUCUGUACUGAGGUGCCCAAAACUGAACACAGUACUUGAGGUGAGGCCUCACCAAUGCUGAGUACAGGGCCAGGAUUACUUCCCUAGUCCUGCUCACCACACCAUUCCCGAUACAAGCCAGGAUGCCAUUGGCCUUCUUGGCCACCUGGGCACACUGCUGGCUCAUAUUCAGCUGACUGUCCGUCAGUACACCAAGAUCCCUCUCCAUCAGGCAGCUUUCCAGCCACUCCUCCCCAAGCCUGUAGGGGUUGCCUGGAUUGUUGUGACCAAAAUGCAGGACCUGACACUUGGCCCUAUUGAAACUCAUACAGUUAACCUUGGCCCAUCGAUCCAGUCUAUCCAGGUCCCUCUGUAGUGCCUUUCUCCCCUCAGGCAAAUCAACACUCCCUCCCAACUUGGUAUCAUCUGCAAACAAACAAACAAACAAACAAAAAUAGAACAAAUCUUGCUCUAUUUCAAAUGUUGAAAGUGGUUUAGGGUUGUUAAGAAAUAGAGGAUUAGUUACCCAUUUACACUUCAGAAUACAAAGCUGAAAGCAUUAGGAGGCUGGAAUUUUCUGGCUAAAUAAUGUGACAUGGGAAAACACAUAAAUGCCGGGGCAUUUUCAUAAAUAUUUCUUCUUGUGGAUUAUCAUCAAGCUAUUCCCUUCUUUCCAGCCAGGGUGUCUGCUAGACUAAUUAGAAAAUCUCAAUUUAUCUCCAUUCUCAGUUUUAUCCUUCUAAAGGAGACCAACAUUCAGUCCUGGAAUUUCAGUCUGUAGUCAGGUCUUGGACUUCAGCUCUGCAGCAGGAAGGCUGAAAAUUUUAAUUCUCUCAAGCUUAGCUGGGUCUCUUGUGGUCUGUUAAGCUAAGGAUUUAUUCAUGGUGUGAACUAAGAGUAUUAAAUCAUUCUCACUUCAGCAGGAUGUUUGAAAGCCUAAAAAUCACAGCUCAAGUCAGAGGGACCACUUAGAGAUAUCUAACUUCAUGUGAACAGGGUCAGAAAAAUAUUUUAAAAUAUCUGAAAUGCCCAGAUACCGCUUGCUUAGUUUAAAGCCUUUCUUCAGAGUCCAAGGGGUAAGAAAUUCCUUUAGAAAAUAAACACUACAAUUCCAGAUAGGCUCUUAAUCUGAAGGGUUAGGAUUUAACUGCAAGAUAUGAUCAAGUUACACUAUUGAACUGUAUUUAAGUAAUAACAAAUCCAUAUAUUCCAGGAGUAUAGCAGCUAUGAUAAUAGGCGGCAGUUAUCUGAAAGCAUUCAGAUUUGACCACUACAGAAAACAGGAAUAGAAUGAAAAUUUCUUUUUAAUGUAAAGCAAACAAAAUGCCAUCAACUGUGUUUAUUUCAUAAAAAGUGCCAAAGCUCAAGCUCUCUACUUACUAAAGUUUCCAUUUUUUUUUUAACCUGAUAACGUCCUCAAAUACUAAAACAGUAUUUUUCCACUAAAAAAAAUAAUGCUGACUGAAAAGUAAGAUAAGUUCUAGUACUUCUGAUUGUAAGAGAAAUACUACUCAGGAUAACAAAAGUAGUUCUGGUGUAGCACAAUGAAAGAUGAUUAUGAAAUGGAAAAUGUAUGCAAGCCACAGGCAAAAACUUCCUGACAUUUAUAUACAUGAUUCAUGGCACUGAUAGGAGUAUUCAGUCUAGCCUCACUUUUUCUAUGAUUCAGGGUAUCAACUUCCAAACAACUAUCUCGUUACUGAUUCAAAUAACCUUUGUUUAGAUAAAAGGCAUCUUUGGAAAGACAGUCAUCUAUACUUGUUAACAAAAGGCAGAAAAUUCUACAUUUCCACUUUGUUGUUUCUCCCAUGACUGAUCUCCCUCCCUGUUAGUAUUUAUAGCUAAUUUAUACUCCACAUUUACAGUGUUUUUUUCCUAAUUAAAAUUAUUCAUCCUCAAGUUACCUACCUUUCAAAAUUGUGGUUAUAUUUUCCAUUGUCAUAUCAUAAUUUGAAACGAUGUUCCCUUUACACAGUCAAGUUUUAUUCUAAAGUGCACUUAUAUAAAACAGGGCAUGUGGCUGUGCAUCUCCUCAGGUACGUGCCUUAUCUUUAUGUACUUCUGCUGUUUUAUUUUAGAAUGACUUCUGUAUCUAGGAAGAAAGCAUGGUGGAUAUUUUUUUUCUAUCAAGUGUUAUCUGUUUCUCUAUGAAAAAGAUGUAUUUCAGGAAAUCUGAAGCCAGCCCUACACCUCCCGCCCCCAAACAACCAUGAGUAAUCUCAGUCAAUUCUGUUCCUGUUGGACAUAACAUAAUAGGCAUGAGCCCGGAGAAAAACAAUAUUGAUAGCACAGCAAUGUUUUAGUUGAUCCUGAGCAGUGAUAUGCAGUUCUGAGGACAUUUCAUCUUCUUGUACCUGUCCUUCAAGGGGGCUGGCUGAGCAUAAGGAGCUGGGAGAAGACAGAUCCAGGAUAGCUGACCUAAACUGGCCAAAGGGAUAUUCCAUAUCAUACGGGACCAUGUGAAAACACUAUAAAACUGAGGGGAGUUGGCUGGGGGGCCGCCACUACUCAAGGACUGGCUGGGCAUUUGUCGGCAUGUGGUAUGAGACAGAUUGGUUUGUAUUUUGGACAUACUAAAGGCCCUGCUGAAGACUGUAAUUUUUUUCUCCUGUUUUACUGACUAUAAUUGUAGCUUUUGGGAGCUGUUGUGCUAAAGACUAUUCAAAAUAUAAAUUUAUAGCAAUUAACUUUUUUCUUUGGAUGAUUCAUCAAUCAUGAAUUGCACUGAAUGACUAUCAGACUUGCAAGAGACCUCUCAGUAACCUAUGGAGUCAUGGAAAUACCAGCUUUCAGCAGACCAAGUAUCACUAGGCUUCAUUGGUUUCCAGCCCACAGAGACAUUCACCUCCAAGCACUGUCUCAGGCUUUUGGAUUUCUUAAGUCUACUUCCUUGAAGUUAUUUAUACUGUUUUUUUCACUUCAUACAAAAUAAACCUACCUUUAGCAUCCUUGAGCACUUCUGGGUUCUAGAAUCACUAAAUCUGGAGGAAGUAACAUUUUUAUGGAAACAAACAAACAAACAACAACAACAAAAAACCCCUAUACUAUCUCAUCUUUAAACCAUACUGAGAGGGAAUAAAAGAAAAAAAUGAAGUCUGUAAGUGACCGGUUAUGGUUUUACAUCUAUUUACAAACAAAAAGAAAUGAAUUCUGGGUAAAACAAAGAGAAUGAACUACUCUAUGAAGUUCUUGUCACCAAGAAAUAUCUUAGCAUAGAUUUAUCUAUCCCAGGAUAUUUCCAGUGGAACAAUCAUCAGUUUUGUGAUUUCUUCAAAUCCCUGAGUAAGUAGGAUAUCUUUUUUACAGAUUUACUUUAUGCAAUUUUGAAAAAAAAAAAAAUAUGCAAGCAGAAGUAAUUUCUUCAGCACAUGGAAUGAUUUCACACAAGGACCCUGCUACUCCAGAUCCGGUAGCAGAGGUCUGCAGUGUCACACACAGGUUACAUUCUUUUGUAAAUGGCAAUGACACUCCAACUAGCUUUUUCUUACCUCACAAAAAGAAUCAGAUCUGAGACACGUUUCAGAUGCCCACUAUGUAUUCCACACUUACUAGCUGAUGUUUUUGAGAUUGUACCACAUGUAAAAUUUAUUAUCUUGAUGUUUAGUUAUAAUAAAAAAAUA
Molecule: long non-coding RNA, 8402 nt
Organism: Gallus gallus (chicken)
Lineage: Eukaryota; Metazoa; Chordata; Aves; Galliformes; Phasianidae
Source: Ensembl